ACUGGGUGUGGUGGCGCAUGCCUGUAAUCCUAGCAGUUUGGGAGGCUGAGGCAGGAGUGUCAUGAGUUCAAAGCCAGCCUCAGCAAUUUAGGGCUGCCCUAAGCAAUUUAGCGAGACCCUGUCUCUA
This 127-nucleotide small RNA is filed under the name Marmota monax (woodchuck). Lineage: Eukaryota; Metazoa; Chordata; Mammalia; Rodentia; Sciuridae. The record is from RNAcentral.